This 234-nucleotide long non-coding RNA is filed under the name Chinchilla lanigera (long-tailed chinchilla). RNAcentral describes it as "lncRNA (ENSCLAG00000026194.1)". The record is from RNAcentral. Lineage: Eukaryota; Metazoa; Chordata; Mammalia; Rodentia; Chinchillidae.
CGCGGGCCCAUGGAGUGUUACUACAUUGUCAUCAGCUCCACGCGCCUCAGCAACGGGCACUUUCGCAACAUCAAGGGAGUUUUCCGAGGCCCUCUCGGCAAGAACGGGAACAAAACUCUGAGGAAAGGAGAGAGAAUGAGAGAAGGGAGGAGAAAAGUACUUUGUAACAUUUGUGAAGGGAAUAAUCAGGAGGGAGCCUUGGAGUGGCCCAUUGCCAUGACUGUACUUAUCUAG